Long non-coding RNA from Daphnia carinata, 1191 nucleotides. RefSeq lists it as uncharacterized. The transcript is spliced from 5 exons. The record is from RefSeq and is a predicted model, not a curated record. NCBI's taxonomy places the organism in Eukaryota, Metazoa, Arthropoda, Branchiopoda, Diplostraca, Daphniidae.
GCUGAGUGAACUUGCAGUUCUGUAAAGUUAUUCGAGAUAACUGCAAAUGGUAGUCCCAAAACCGGAAGAAUUUUGUCUGUCAUCUUUACUACGUGAACUUUAAAAGGCCUUGUUAUACCAAAGGGCGCCAAAUGGAGAAAUUGGGCUUCAUCAACGAUUCAAAUUCAUUGAUUUUAACAGCCUGGUUGCAAACUUUUAGCCAUAGCAUUGCAAUCAAUGUAUUUAUAAUCCAGUCUUCAACACUCACAAAUGCCAAUGUACACAGUUGUUUCUACGCUGAAACGUUUAAUCUGACAAUGAUUUGGUCAAUUUUUUUUUUUACUGGUUGACACUUCAAUUUUUUAAUGUUUGAUCAACCACUUUUCGAUACUUAAAAGCGAGGACCGAAUGGCACCUACACUUGGACUGGAUCGGACGGUUAUUUGGUCGAAUGGCUAGCGGCAAUAUUCAACUUUACGUAGGUAUUCGUUCGUGCUAAUUAAUCAAACUAUUGCGCAUAUGUACGGGACGCAUGAGGGUUUGUUCUAUCAACUCAUAAAUGAUGAGGGUAUCGACGGCGUGGCGAACUCUUUCUACUUAACGCUGGUUCGUGUAGCAAGGAUGGACUAUACCUUCCUCUCCUGACAUGGGGGGAUGGAUUUAGCCUUGUUGUGCCAUGUAUCAAGGAAUAAGAAGAACACUUUGAGUCCGUCUACCAUUGAUUCAGAAUUAAACAGCCAACCCAAAGAAGUAAGCAAUAUUUCGCAGCAAAGAAGUCUUUUUACUUGAUUUGGAUUUCAUAUGUUCUAUGUGAUGAACAUCAUGACGAAUCAAGGUGAUAAUCAAAUUUUUUUUGCACUUAAGAAAUUUUGGUUUAAUUCGAGGCAUUGGUACUGGACUUGGAUUCUUGACGUUUUUGAUUGAACAGAUUUAUUCAAACUAGAAGAAGCACAGACAUCGUAAGUUGGCGUUAAUUAAAAAAACAAUACUUCAGUUUGAUGGUAAGCUUGAUUAGUGGAUAAUUCAUUAGUAACUUUUUUUACAUUUUGAAAGUAAGCUUGAAUGUAGGAGAAAAGUAGUGUUAGAUAGUAGUGAAGCUUAGUUUCGUUUCUUGAAAAUUUCGCCAUCAACUGCAAGAAGUUAUAAUGAAUCUGUAGAAAUGUGUUGGUUUUCUUUGUUUUUCAGCAUCUGUGUUGAAUUCACCCAUCUGUC